Pseudophryne corroboree (corroboree frog) is the source of this 400-nucleotide long non-coding RNA. RefSeq lists it as uncharacterized. The record is from RefSeq and is a predicted model, not a curated record. NCBI's taxonomy places the organism in Eukaryota, Metazoa, Chordata, Amphibia, Anura, Myobatrachidae. The transcript has 3 exons.
CUACCACGUGUUCUAAUUUGGUUAGACAUUAUACUCAUUUGAAUUGCCUUCACUCCUGAGUCUCUGAGUGUCGGGUUCAAGCUGCUGACCGAUGAGGUAUGGUCCUCGCUGUAUCAAUCAAGUCCCAUUGAAACGUUGUUCAUACAUCUUUGAAUGACCUAUGUGCUGACAAUAUGUUCUGAAAUGAAGAGAUUUUACCCCUGAUGAAGUCUUGGAACAAGACGAAACGCGUUGGAUUAUUUAUCUAUCUAUUAUCUGAUGUUACCUCCGAAUCUACAAUAAGGAGAAGGAGGAAAUCGUAGUGAUAUAUCUACGCUUUUUCCUCAUCACUACAAACAGAUUGUUCAAAUUGUGCGACAAAUGUAAAUGUAUCAACUCUGUAUACUUAUGAACAUUUGUG